This 95-nucleotide non-coding RNA is filed under the name Streptomyces clavuligerus. RNAcentral's name for it is "Glycine sequence". It matches the Rfam family "Glycine riboswitch aptamer". Rfam says of the family: This family represents the bacterial glycine riboswitch. The record is from RNAcentral. Lineage: Bacteria; Bacillati; Actinomycetota; Actinomycetes; Kitasatosporales; Streptomycetaceae.
UGAAUCCGCGCGGGAGAGUUCCGGCACUGUGUGCCGGGCGCCGAAGGAGCAAGUCCCUCCCUUGAAUCUCUCAGGCCCCGUACCGCGCGUGACGA